GCGAUCAUACCAGCACUAAUGCACCGGAUCCCAUCAGAACUCCGAAGUUAAGCGUGCUUGGCCGAUAGCAGUGCUAUCAUCACUGUCCCCCUGGGAAGUCCUCGUGUGUUACCU
This 114-nucleotide ribosomal RNA is filed under the name Zingiber officinale. The record is from RNAcentral. Lineage: Eukaryota; Viridiplantae; Streptophyta; Magnoliopsida; Zingiberales; Zingiberaceae.